CGAAAAACCUGCUGCCGCGAGAAAAGGGAGGAUGAGGAACGUGCACGGUCGCAGAGGUGUCUGGGAGAGAAAAAUUGUCCAGAGUCUCGCAAACCGUCCGAACUGGGCGGACAAAUUAUCAUCCGUAGUCACAACAGAGCGUGCCCUUUUCUUCUUCGCUGCUUUCUCCGCCCCCCCCUUCUCUAUUCUUCCACGCACCAUGAGACGUUCCACCUUGCGCGUUUGAUUUAUCGCAAUCUCAACGUGUUGGGGCCCUCUCGACGUCUCCGCGGGACUCCCACGUGAGCCACGUCGCGCUAUCUCUCGCUCACCGUGACUCGUUUUUGGACCUUUUCUGCACCCUUCUCUGCCUUCCCCUGGUCCAACGUCCUCUCUGACCCCGGCUGAAUUCUUUGGUGGUCGCGCGUACAAAACGAUCCCGCCCGAGAUCGAUUAUUCCGGGAUCUCUCGAACAGGCGAUCUUCGGAUCCUUUGAAAUCACGGUGGAAAUACUCGCGUGAAAUCCUGGUAAACGUGACCGUUUCUGAGUCAGUUUGCGUUACUGGCAGCUUCCAUUAAGACUGUCCCGACGAAUCGUCGUGGAAGUCUUUCAUUGAACGAUCGAAACGAGGGAUCGAAUGAUCGACGACGCGAAGGACGUUUGACGAAUGUCGAGAGCUGAGCAGACACGCUGAGAAUGUCGAGACUGCUUGGCGAUUUCGGUUUGUUGAAAUUGUUCGUGAGAAACCCUUGCUUUUUUAGCCGACUUCGAAAAGGAGGAGGUUACUUGAUUCGACAUGUAUAUUUAUUUUUUUUUAUUUUUUUUUUUAUUUUUUUUAUGCCUUAUGUUUUAAUUGAAAGGAGAAAAAUGUGUGCACAUUGUAACCGUACAUUUAGAGCGCGGUUACAUAUAUACGCGGUUAAAUAUGUGUACGUGCGAAUAUUCUAGAAAAUAUAUUAGUAAAGAGCGCACGCGUGAAAGAAUCCCCUCUCCGUGCGAUUAUUCGCGAAAGCGAGGCGAGCUGGGUGCGAACAGGGGCCAGCUCUGUCUCUCUGUUUCUCACCUGCGUGCGAUACACAUCUCCUUUUAAGCUCAACGUAGAACAAGGGAGAGAACGAGAGACAUUUCUCCAAGCCGGGAAGCACGGAACGCGCCUAGUCGGUGGCGGCUGGCAUCGAGAGAGGGGAUUCCCGGCACGCGACCGCCUCGACCAUCGACCGCGUGAACGCAUGCGUCGGGAUGCACGCACGCGGCCUCCCAGGACGAGCGCGCAAAACGAGCCGCGACAUGGUCGGGACGAGCAAACAGAGGAAAAGGAGCAGCGAGACCGGGAGAUCGAGAGGAACGAGUCACGGCGACCUUGGGAACCCUAACCCACAUCUAAUUCGCGAGAGCCUGUUUGGUGUCGAGGUCAUGUACGCUCCUGAAGAACUUUCCGCGCGAUCCAACGUCAACAGAGACGUGGAACCGCUCAAAUCAUGUCAACUUUUAGGGAGAAAUUUUUAGGCGAUUCAAAUUUUUAAGGAGACUCGUCUGAUGACGUUGGAAUUAAUUUCAAGGAAACGUAUUCGUAUGAAAAUACAUGUAAAUUUUGUGCAAAAUGUUACAAUGAGAAUCUUUUAAGUUACUUGUCAUUUGAAGAUACUUUGCAAGUAUUACACACUGGGACCAAUUCUAACGUGAUUAUUUCAAACAGAAAUAUAGAAUAAUUUGUAAUAGAACGUGUAUGCAUAUAUGUUAUUUAGUAAAGAGGAAUUUUUAACAUUUCUUCGCUUCCAAUUUGUUGACAUUUCAGAAAAAUAAUAGAAUUACAAAGGUGUCAAAAUUCACUGCAACAGA
Hylaeus volcanicus is the source of this 1819-nucleotide long non-coding RNA. RefSeq lists it as uncharacterized. The record is from RefSeq and is a predicted model, not a curated record. Lineage: Eukaryota; Metazoa; Arthropoda; Insecta; Hymenoptera; Colletidae. The transcript is spliced from 2 exons.